RNAcentral lists this ribosomal RNA (253 nucleotides) under uncultured bacterium. Its description in RNAcentral is "partial 16S ribosomal RNA". It matches the Rfam family "Bacterial small subunit ribosomal RNA", at positions 524 to 776 of the family's 1533-position model. The record is from RNAcentral.
UACAGAGGGUGCGAGCGUUGUCCGGAAUCACUGGGCGUAAAGGGUGCGUAGGCGGGUCUUUAAGUCAGGGGUGAAAUCCUGGAGCUCAACUCCAGAACUGCCUUUGAUACUGAAGAUCUUGAGUUCGGGAGAGGUGAGUGGAACUGCGAGUGUAGAGGUGAAAUUCGUAGAUAUUCGCAAGAACACCAGUGGCGAAGGCGGCUAACUGGUCCAUAACUGACGCUGAGGUGCGAAAGCGUGGGGAGCAAACAGG